Molecule: non-coding RNA, 678 nt
Organism: Lupinus albus (white lupine)
Lineage: Eukaryota; Viridiplantae; Streptophyta; Magnoliopsida; Fabales; Fabaceae
Source: the annotation of a GenBank genome assembly
UUAUUCAUACACAUUAUUCUCUAACCUUACUCAUCUUCUUCCUUGAGAUAAACCCACAAAUUCUCUUUCUCUCUCGAUUUCAUCUUCUUCUUCAUCUCUGUUUCUUCAUUUCUUCUUGUUGCUGCACACAAAGCUUUGGCUUUGUUUUCUAUUUGGUUUUCUCCACACACAAAAAUGUGUGUUUGUUUGAGUAAAGUCACUAUAAUACAUUGUUAUUUAAGCCAUAAGUUACGGAACGCAAUGUUCAAUUUUCAAUCAAAUUCAUGUGUGAUAUUUAUCAACAUGGGUUAAAUAAAAUGGGUUCAAUCAAUUUUCAAUCAAAACCUUGUUAUUUUCGAGUAAUAUUCAAUUAUUCAUUAACAACAUGGGUUCGUUUCUGAUUAAUUGGUUUGACAUUUAGCUCACUUUUUCAUUUAUUUGAACAUUUAAAAAGAUAAUAGAGGUUAUUAAAUUGAGAUUUAAUUAGGAGCAUGGAUCUAAUUAAUAGACAGCUAGGAGGAACACAUAGUUGCACAAUAAUUUGAAGUUAUAGAGGAACACGUUUCACUCCAUUUAUUUAGUUGAUAUGAUUAUAUCCUUCAGAAAAACAAGUGUUUGUAAUUAUCUGUAGUAAUCAUGAUCAUUCUGCUUCAUCAAAUAUGGUACAUGGAGUGUCGUAUGCUUUUCUUCCAGAGUUAA